This 229-nucleotide ribosomal RNA is filed under the name uncultured bacterium. Its description in RNAcentral is "partial 16S ribosomal RNA". It matches the Rfam family "Bacterial small subunit ribosomal RNA", at positions 568 to 796 of the family's 1533-position model. The record is from RNAcentral.
UGCGUAGGCGGUCGAUUUAGUCGGUUGUGAAAGCCCUCGGCUCAACCGAGGAACUGCAUCCGAUACUGGUCGGCUAGAGUGUGGAAGGGGAGAGUGGAACUCCUGGUGGAGCGGUGAAAUGCGUAGAUAUCAGGAGGAACGCCGGUGGCGAAAGCGACUCUCUGGUCCAUAACUGACGCUGAGGCGCGAAAGCCAGGGGAGCAAACAGGAUUAGAUACCCUGGUAGUCC